AUUGAACGCUGGCGGCAGGCCUAACACAUGCAAGUCGAGCGGAUGAAGGGAGCUUGCUCCUGGAUUCAGCGGCGGACGGGUGAGUAAUGCCUAGGAAUCUGCCUGGUAGUGGGGGAUAACGUCCGGAAACGGGCGCUAAUACCGCAUACGUCCUGAGGGAGAAAGUGGGGGAUCUUCGGACCUCACGCUAUCAGAUGAGCCUAGGUCGGAUUAGCUAGUUGGUGGGGUAAAGGCCUACCAAGGCGACGAUCCGUAACUGGUCUGAGAGGAUGAUCAGUCACAGGGGAGAUGAGACCCGGUCCAGCCCCCGACGGGAGGCACCGGUGGGGAAUUUUGGACAAGGGGCGAAGGCGUGAACCAGCCAUGCCGCGGGGGGAAAGAAGGCCUUCGGUUUGUAAAGCACUUUAAGUUGGGGGGAAGGGCGGUAAUUUAAUACCUUGCUGUUUUAACGUUACCAAAAGAAUAGGCCCCGCCAAACUUGUU
RNAcentral lists this ribosomal RNA (483 nucleotides) under uncultured bacterium. RNAcentral describes it as "partial 16S ribosomal RNA". It matches the Rfam family "Bacterial small subunit ribosomal RNA", at positions 30 to 506 of the family's 1533-position model. The record is from RNAcentral.